ACCGCCCUCAGAUGGGGUGGGCAGAGGAUGCUCGUGCCUGGCUGUGUUCCCUGGCUUGGUACCUAAUUCCUGGUGGCACCAGGCAGGGGCUGAAGGAGGGGGAUUAUUCACUGCUCAGCUCCCAACACCAGAGCCAGCACUUUAGAGUGCUUUCAUCCCUGAAAGCUUCGGCGGGGAAGAAAGGAGAGUGGACUGAUCCCCAACAGCACCGGGUUCAUCCCACCUUUGUGCUCUUUUCCCCCUGGCAAGGAUGAGGAUCUCACCAGCAGCUCCCUGGACCAACACCAGAGCAGCAGGGGACGGGGCAGGAUCUGACAGCGGGCUCAGCCUCCUGCAAGCUGCACUGAAGACCAGGGAUUUCAAACCAGCUUUUCCUUCAGCAACACCUCCUGACAGGAGGUUGCACUCAGCUCUCUGAUACAAAGCCUGGUUCCAUUCCCAGCAAACCAAACCUGAACGCAGCCUCUUCCCUCCUGCCCUGCCUCGGGAGCGACUGGGAACGACUCUCCCAGGAAGAGCAGAGGUUUUCCUCCAGAAGGAAGAAACCUUUCCACGCACGAGCGGCCCCCUCCUGCAGGGAACUCCAGCUUUGGGGGCAGCUUUUUGGAGCAAGGAGGGGAGGA
This is a long non-coding RNA of Pipra filicauda (Wire-tailed manakin), 623 nucleotides long. RefSeq lists it as uncharacterized. Lineage: Eukaryota; Metazoa; Chordata; Aves; Passeriformes; Pipridae. The transcript has 5 exons. The record is from RefSeq and is a predicted model, not a curated record.